This is a long non-coding RNA of Drosophila pseudoobscura, 3011 nucleotides long. RefSeq lists it as uncharacterized. NCBI's taxonomy places the organism in Eukaryota, Metazoa, Arthropoda, Insecta, Diptera, Drosophilidae. The transcript is spliced from 2 exons. The record is from RefSeq and is a predicted model, not a curated record.
GAAACACGGUAAGCAAUGGUUUUGAUGAAAGAGCUCUAUUUUGGAACACCGAAAGCCCAUCUUUCAUGAACUGAUGGAAUUAUGGUUAUCGAUGAACAAGAAACCAGAGAUGGAGUAUUUAUCGGAAGGGGCUGCAUCUGCAACAAAACAAGCAAUUGAGCGAUUGACAAAAAGAUACAAAAUUACUACACCUUCCAACUUAAAAGUAGCAAAAGAUUAUAUUUUCAGUCAAUGAGGUAAUAGCUGGACUUAAAGAUAAGAACUUUAAAGUCGAAAUGGCUAUGAAAAUAAUAAAUAGAAAUAAAAUUUCCAAACCAAUUUUCAAGCCUUUCUUUCUUCAUUAUUCCAUCGAUUUUAACCAAUUGGACCUUCUUACAAUCUUCCGUGGUCCAGUUCCUAUGCUCCUUGCUAAAUAUAAGAUGCGCAGCCACUUUUCGUCAGAGAGGGCUGGUUUUUUCUGGCUAACUGCCGGUGUCAGGCCGAUCGUACGCAGAGCGUCCAAUCAUGGAAAGUUCUCCAAUUGGUUAAAAUCGAUGGAAUAAUGAAAAAAGAAUAUUAUCUUCAUAUUUAGGAUCCCAUUCUGUCACAUCCACAUCCGAGAUCACUUUCCAGCAAGAUGGUAGCCCGACGCACAAGGCUAAAUUCGUGAAAAAUUGUCCCAAUAACUCGAGUUUCACUUAAUCCAGUGGCCUGCUCAAUAGCCCAGAUCUAAAUCCCAUUGAAAAUCGAUGGGCUCUGUUUAAAAAAACAUUGGAAAAGUACGAGUCUGCACCAAAGGAUUGGGUGAGUCUUUGGGACCGCGUGAAGACGGAGUGGCACAUGAUACCUUGCCAGCACCUACUAAAUUUAGUCGAGAGUAUGUCAAUACUUAUUCGGAAUAUGAUAAAAGCUAAGGCCCUUUGGAACAAAUAUUUUUAAAAAAUUAUUAAAGUAAAAAAAUUUUAAACAUGCAAAAGUGGAUAGCAUGUAUUUUUUUGAACAAAUUAAAAUCUCUUGAAGAAAAGGUUCUCUUUGAAUUGAAAUUAUUGUCUCUUUACAUUCUCACUAAAUUGAAGAAUCUUUAAAAACAAAAAUCACAAGGAUUGAUUCAUUUUUAAAGAUUUUACAGGCGCUUAAAGUGAAAAGUGAUAAACAUACAUCCACAUGUGAUCGCCACUGUAUGCCUAUGGGUAAAAAUGAAGUUCACCCGAUCUACAAGAUCCACUUUCAACUGCACCGUAGAAUCACCGUUGAGGAACCACAAACACGAAAUUAACCCGUCCAAUGCACAAAUUGUCACGAAUAUGGACAAACGAAAACUUAUUGCACCCUACACGCAGUCUGCGUUGCCUGCGGGGAUAUAUGUACAUCUCACUGAGCCUUGCCCCGUAAACAAAGAGGACCCAUCUGCCGAGCAAAGUUAUCCCACAAAUCUUGCCGUAUAUACCAUCAACUACAACCCCAGAAGUUUAUUUUGCUAAGGCGUUAAGUUACACAAACGAGUUGUACGCCUCAGUCUCUCUACGGGAUUGAUGAAGCAUCAGGCAUCGCAACAGUGGCCAGAAAUUAAUAGCCAACCUACCCCUGCAAAUCCAUCCCGAUUGCCUAGUGGAAUUAAAUCAUGCUGGUAACUUUAACAAAUACAAUGGUAGCAAUACAACAAACGAUACAGGAACUUAUGCGCAAUCAAAAUAUCCUCUUGGAGCUCCUAAUCAAACAGAAAUCUACUUAAAUGUUUUCUCUAAAUAUGUCUUUCUGGAAUGAAAAUGGCAUUUCACAGCACAAAUGCGGGCUCUUGCAGUUGCUUGAUCAACAUGACAUUGACGCUAUGCUCAAAUCCGAUACUCACCUAAUAAAAAAAAAAAUUAUUUGUAUCUCAAUGGUUAAGAAUUUGUAAAAUUUUUCAACCUAUUACAUUCGACAACGCAAAGCCCUAGAAGAUGAGGAAAACCGAUCUAAAACAUAAUGUAUGGAGCAACUCUCCCCGAACAGCCAACGAUUCCCAGUGUAGAAAACUAAAACAGGCGUAUGUCCACCAAUAGAGAGUGAAUAACCAUUACGUACACAAACAGGGGAGCGGGCUCGCUGCGACUAACCAAUAAUCUUGAAGCCAUAUUCCAAGCAGGAGAACUUAUAAGAGUCUUGAAGCACCAAGUCUCAAAAAUUCUUUUCUCACCAUAAUAUUCAACAGGGCAAAAAAUAUAUUCAAUACUAUACUCAACAAUGAAGGAAAUCUAUCUAUCUAUCAGUCUCCUGUCGUGCCUAUCAAAGAUAUUUGAAUCUUUUGAAUCAUAUCCUGAAUCAACACCUACACGUCAACAGUGGAUUCCCAAUGCACCAAUUUGGAUUUCGCGAAAGACAUGGAACCAUUAAACAAGUAAAGCGGAUAACGUCUGAGAUUCGAAAUGCAUUUGAAAGACGAGAGUAUUGGACUGUAGUGUCAGUAGUGUCAUCCACACAGCAGAUAAACCGACAAACAACUUACAACGUCUACAAACAACGUCUUACAUUUCAUGGCCUUGGAAAAAUAGCAAGCAAAAAUGACUGUCUAGCUAGCUAGCAUAUGUAUAUGUAAACGAGCAAAGGUGUAAGCAUGUCCUUUUGGAUACACGGAUCGAUUGGCGUAAACACAUCGAAGCUAAGAGAAAUCUACUGAAAUUUAAGGCUUGUAACCUACAUUGUCUUGUAAACGUCCGCUCGCCGACUACUAAUCUACAAAUAAACCAGAGGUCUCAAGGUUCUGGCCCAUUCUAAUAGACUUGCGUAGUCUUUAACUUACUACACUAGCCAUACACGUCUCCGGCGAAGAGACUUCUCUACCCAGCAAUAAUAGUUACUCUAAAUAAUUAAGUAAAAAAAUAUAUUAAAAGUCCGUGGGGGUUAAAUCAGACGAUAGUCAGUCAAUAUCGCCUAAAACUGUAAUGAAUUGAAGUUUCGAUCAAAUCUAUGUUGAAAUCUAUCGAUUGUUAAAUGUACUAAAAGAUGGCGCACCCUGUACAUACUAUAUACAAAUAAUCACAGUUAGAAAAAUA